AGCCAGGAUGGUCUCGAUCUCCUGACCUCGUGAUCCACCCGUCUCGGCCUCCCAAAGUGCUGGGAUUACAGGCUUGAGCCACCGCGCCCGGCCGGUGUUGCAUUUUUAAUUCCCACCGGCUCUUUUGUAUUCUCUAUGCCUUUGCUUUAAAAGCAUGCGGCUCUCUGAGGGGUCCUGUCUCCCCACCCCAGCCUUCUCCAGGACUCCUGGGUGCUGAGAACCUAUGAGAAGGAGCUGAGGUCUCCCAUUGAAGGCAGAGUAUCGUACGCACGUGCCUGUUCCAUGUCAGCGCAGGGUC
Chlorocebus sabaeus (green monkey) is the source of this 298-nucleotide non-coding RNA. Lineage: Eukaryota; Metazoa; Chordata; Mammalia; Primates; Cercopithecidae. The record is from RefSeq and is a predicted model, not a curated record.